CCUACGGGAGGCAGCAGUUAGGAAUAUUGGACAAUGGGCGAAAGCCUGAUCCAGCCAUGCCGCGUGUGUGAUGAAGGCCCUAGGGUUGUAAAGCACUUUCGUUGGGGAUGAUAAUGACCGUACCCAAAGAAGAAGCACCGGCUAACUUCGUGCCAGCAGCCGCGGUAAUACGAAGGGUGCAAGCGUUGUUCGGAAUCACUGGGCGUAAAGAAUGCGUAGGCGGCUUAACAAGUCGGGAGUGAAAUCCCAGGGCUCAACCCUGGAACUGCUCUCGAAACUGUUUUGCUAGAGUCCCGGAGGGGUUAGCGGAAUUCCGAGUGUAGAGGUGAAAUUCGCAGAUAUUCGGAGGAACACCAGUGGCGAAGGCGGCUAACUGGACGGGAACUGACGCUGAGGCAUGAAAGUGUGGGGAUCAAACAGGAUUAGAUACCCUGGUAGUCCACACCGUAAACGAUGUGUGCUAGUUGUCGGGCAGCUUUGCUGUUCGGUGACGGAGCUAACGUUUUAAGCACACCGCCUGGGAAGUACGGCCGCAGGUUAAAACUCAAAGGAAUUGACGG
Molecule: ribosomal RNA, 560 nt
Filed under: uncultured bacterium
Lineage: Bacteria
Description: bacterial SSU rRNA
Rfam family: Bacterial small subunit ribosomal RNA
Source: RNAcentral